RNAcentral lists this long non-coding RNA (724 nucleotides) under Ictidomys tridecemlineatus (thirteen-lined ground squirrel). RNAcentral describes it as "lncRNA (ENSSTOG00000032840.1)". Lineage: Eukaryota; Metazoa; Chordata; Mammalia; Rodentia; Sciuridae. The record is from RNAcentral.
AUAUGCUUCUGCCUGAUAAGGGAAAUUUUUUAAACAAUUUAAAUUUCUUUCAUUCCUUUUUCUCCAAUGUCAGAUCCCAUGCAUCAGAAGUUACAGAUUAUUCUUAUCCAGCUACACCCAACCAUUCUCUGCAUCCCCAGUCGGUCACCCCUUCCUACACUGCCGGUGAUGCACCACAACAUGGGGCUGCAAACCAGGCCCCUGAACAUGAGUACCAGGCCCCCUCUGCCUCGGUGAGGCACAUGGCCCUAUACAGACUACAGCAGCUGCCACCACCACCACCACCCCAGAACCCAGAGGGGUCCCAGGCCUCUGCAUCAAUGGCUCCAGCAGAUUAUGGGAUGCUCCUGGCACAGAUAAUUGAGUAUUACAACCCUUCAGGACCACCUCCUCCUCCACCUCCACCCAUGAUUCCUUCAGCACAAACUGCUUUUGUCAGCCCUCUCCAGAUCCCCAUGCAGCCCCCCUUUCCUGCAUCAGCUGGUUCCACAUAUGCAGCUCCUCCUCAUCCACCCUCAGCUGGGCUCCUCAUCACAGCACCACCGCCUCCAGGUCCACCACCUCCCCCACCAGGCCCUCCUGGCCCCGGCUCUUCUCUUUCAUCCUCCCCAAUGCAUGGCCCUCUGUAGCUGAGGCAAAGCGUCCUGAGCCUGCACAGCCCCCAAUAAGUGAUGCUUGAAGUGACCUCCUUGCUACCAUCAGGAUGGGUAAGUGGAGCACCCCA